GUGCCAGCAGCCGCGGUAAUACGGAGGGUGCGAGCGUUGUUCGGAAUUACUGGGCGUAAAGGGCGCGUAGGCGGUAGUGAUAGUCAGGUGUGAAAUCCUUCGGCUUAACCGGAGAACUGCAUCUGAAACUUCACAACUAGAGUACAGGAGAGGGAAACGGAAUUCCCGGUGUAGAGGUGAAAUUCGUAGAUAUCGGGAGGAACACCAGUGGCGAAGGCGGUUUCCUGGCCUGAUACUGACGCUGAGGCGCGAAAGCGUGGGGAGCAAACAGGAUUAGAUACCCCGGUAGUCC
This 292-nucleotide ribosomal RNA is filed under the name uncultured bacterium. RNAcentral's name for it is "partial 16S ribosomal RNA". It matches the Rfam family "Bacterial small subunit ribosomal RNA", at positions 505 to 796 of the family's 1533-position model. The record is from RNAcentral.